CGGGCAACGACAUUCAGAAGUGUUAGAAGUAAAUCUAACUGCACACAAAGCAGAGUUCAGCUAAGUGUCACUGCCGAAAAACAUCCUCUGUUCUCUGUGAAAUGAAGUUAGAAAAGAGCUAAAUCGAGUACUAAAACUCAUUGAAUGCAUUUAAAGAGCUGGAAGAUAGGGGAUAUGCCUGCUGUGAGGGACUGUGGGCACCAGUUUUGCAUAUUUUACAGGUGAGACAGAGAAGGACUGAUCUUUCAGCUAGUGUAAAAGCAUGCAGAGAUUUGCUUACACAUGAAUCUGCUUCAUGGCCUAUGCUUAUUUCUACCAGCGUCUUGGCCAGCUGCAGCUUCUGUUUACUGUUCAACAAACCCUUGGAGUACUGGAGUAGUUGCUAAGCUAUCAGCAAGAGCUGGGAAAGCUGGACAUUACUGUAACUCACAAUUUGAUGUGUGCUCCCUGUGGACGGCUGCUCACUAAAGAAAUUUUGGCCUUUGGCCAGUGUGGUCUGAAGAACUGAAGAGAGUAAAAGAGAAGAAAGGGAAGGCAGGAAGUUAGUAAAUGACUAUUUUUGGAGACUGAGGUGCAAGUAAAAUCACACCUUCUGUGCCUGUCACCUAGGUAACCUUUUGCAAAGCAUUUCACUUUUCUAAAACUAGAUGUGUGAAUUAUUAUACAGGAUCACAGCUAUCUGUGAGGGGCAUCUUCUUCCCACCUGUUCCUUUUCCUUUUUCAAGGAUGAGUACUCUGC
RNAcentral lists this long non-coding RNA (739 nucleotides) under Phasianus colchicus (ring-necked pheasant). RNAcentral describes it as "lncRNA (ENSPCLG00000021865.1)". The record is from RNAcentral. Lineage: Eukaryota; Metazoa; Chordata; Aves; Galliformes; Phasianidae.